GGGAAAGCAACAAAAAAAAUACAAUUCAUAUGAUUAAAAAGUUAUUAGAUUAUAUGUAUGCAGAGGUGUGAGUUUAAAUCAAUCGUUAGUUGAUUUAGUGGUGAUUGAUGUUGAACUUGGUAGGAAGGACCACAACUCAAUUAUCCACAACUGCAAUCAGAAGGGGGCUAUAACCACUUAAUUGCAGAACUAAUUCCUAAAUCAGAUUAAAC
RNAcentral lists this long non-coding RNA (212 nucleotides) under Trifolium pratense (red clover). RNAcentral describes it as "long non-coding RNA (TPRA_LNC013941)". Lineage: Eukaryota; Viridiplantae; Streptophyta; Magnoliopsida; Fabales; Fabaceae. The record is from RNAcentral.